This 490-nucleotide ribosomal RNA is filed under the name uncultured bacterium. RNAcentral's name for it is "partial 16S ribosomal RNA". It matches the Rfam family "Bacterial small subunit ribosomal RNA", at positions 28 to 507 of the family's 1533-position model. The record is from RNAcentral.
GAUGAACGCUAGCUACAGGCUUAACACAUGCAAGUCGAGGGGCAGCAUGGUCUUAGCUUGCUAAGGCCGAUGGCGACCGGCGCACGGGUGAGUAACACGUAUCCAACCUGCCGUCUACUCUUGGACAGCCUUCUGAAAGGAAGAUUAAUACAAGAUGGCAUCAUGAGUCCGCAUGUUCACAUGAUUAAAGGUAUUCCGGUAGACGAUGGGGAUGCGUUCCAUUAGAUAGUAGGCGGGGUAACGGCCCACCUAGUCUUCGAUGGAUAGGGGUUCUGAGAGGAAGGUCCCCCACAUUGGAACUGAGACACGGUCCAAACUCCUACUGGAGGCAGCAGUGAGGAAUAUUGGUCAAUGGGCGAGAGCCUGAACCAGCCAAGUAGCGUGAAGGAUGACUGCCCUAUGGGUGGUAAACUUCUUUUAUAAAGGAAUAAAGUCGGGUAUGGAUACCCGUUUGCAUGUACUUUAUGAAUAAGGAUCGGCUAACUCCGUG